AGUGAACGCUGGCGGCAGGCCUAACACAUGCAAGUCGAGCGGCAGCGCGUCCGACCACCCUCGGGUGGUCGGAUGGCGGCGAGCGGCGGACGGGUGAGGAAUGCAUCGGAAUCUGCCUCGUUGUGGGGGAUAACGUAGGGAAACUUACGCUAAUACCGCAUACGACCUACGGGUGAAAGUGGGGGACCGUUCGGGCCUCACGCGAUGAGAUGAGCCGAUGCCGGAUUAGCUAGUUGGCGGGGUAAAGGCCCACCAAGGCGACGAUCCGUAGCUGGUCUGAGAGGAUGAUCAGCCACACUGGAACUGAGACACGGUCCAGACUCCUACGGGAGGCAGCAGUGGGGAAUAUUGCGCAAUGGGCGAAAGCCUGACGCAGCCAUGCCGCGUGUGUGAAGAAGGCCCUUGGGUUGUAAAGCACUUUC
Molecule: ribosomal RNA, 422 nt
Filed under: uncultured bacterium
Lineage: Bacteria
Description: bacterial SSU rRNA
Rfam family: Bacterial small subunit ribosomal RNA
Source: RNAcentral